Molecule: long non-coding RNA, 3130 nt
Filed under: Triticum aestivum (bread wheat)
Lineage: Eukaryota; Viridiplantae; Streptophyta; Magnoliopsida; Poales; Poaceae
Description: long non-coding RNA (TAES_LNC019682)
Source: RNAcentral
UUGAAACUACACAAUCAAGCCAUGCUAAAGACUUUUGUUCAAGUUCGCAGUUAGUCAUCCAAACUACAAAAGGGGGAGAGACAAAACCUGUCAGUGCAUCCACGAGCCGGCUAUAAAGAUAGCUCGAACCAUCAACACCAUAGUACAAGGGUGAAGAUCCAUGUAAAAUGACUAGCUUAUAAAUAUGCAAAACCAGCACGAUGUACAAGCGAAGCGCCCAGUGCAUACAAGUUUACGCCAAAUACAAAAAAAAACAGCACAUUAAAGUACCAGCGAAGCACCGCGCAAGGACCCACUAGUCAUAUUCUGCUCACAAAAGAAAUCGCAAUCACGUCGCUCAAAAGACCGCACAACACAGGAAGUGUAUAGUCUCUUCCAUUGCUAUUGCACGUCUCAACACAGCAUCUCCAAGAUAAUGUAAAGUCUCCUAAUACCCUUAUUGCGGAAGGGAAGAAUAACCUCAGAUAGCUAUCCUGCAAUUACUAACAUUAGCUCCCUUGGAAUAGUCCACUGAAUGAAUUCUUACAGAAGGGAAGAAUAUCAAACAAAUUACUCCUGACAAGUCAUGGGGCUUGUUUGCUCCAAGGUCCCCAUCUCCCUCUCCCUCUGUUCUUUUCUGGACACGGGCUGGAGUAGCGCCCCCAUCUUUCUCUAUCUCUGAUCACUUCUGGACACACGUUGGCGUAGUGCCCCUUGCUCCUACACUUAUGGCAAGUAACUAAAGCCUUUCUCUUCAUGAUGAUUUCCUGGACAACCUUCUUCAUUCCUUUCCUCUGUUGCUGAACCACUUCUUGUGUCGUGGUGAGUAGACGACACUGGGCUGGAUUGUGGUUAGUCCCUUCACACAUGAAACAGGUGACUUGCGUAGUGGGACAUUCUUCACCCAAGUGACUCGCUUCACAAUAGGGGCAUCCAUCUUGGUGUUCCUUAUCGGUGUGUCCUAUUUCUCCACAACUUGUUAGCUAGUCGUAACAAAAUUUAAUCACAAUAAACAAUUCAGUAGACUGACCAAAAUACAGUCUCAGGUUACUACUAACAAAAAAUGAGAUACGAUGCAAAAAACAGAGCAAACAAGAUCAAAGAGAAUUCCUCAGAGACCCGCUUAAAAUCACGCACACAGCUAAACCAAACCAGCUGCAAAUGGAUAUUCCAGCCCACAACCAACAAAGGUUAUGGGUGAAGGACACUUGCAGUGGAGAGAAGCAGCUGUUGUUUACAGUGUCAUACGACACUUCCUAUGGUCUGAGAAUCUUCACCAGGAUAAUUUAAGAACGGACAAAAUUAACUAUAUAAACUAUACUAGGACCAGAAGGUAUUGGUAUUAAGCCUCAGAAAGCCGCAAAAAUAUCGUCAUUCAGAAUCUGACGGUAAUUCCAACAAAAAGCUAAUCAUCAUGUGCGUCAAUUGCAUUAUAGCUCAAAAUAAAAUCGAUGGAAACAAGACGUAUCAUCAGAAUAUAAAUGCCUUCGCAUUCACAGGUAAAUAAGCACUGUUUCAGAAGGUGUCCUAAGAUUGUUUCAAGUUUCAUCCCAUGAUACUAACGGAAUAAAGAAACAAAACAAUGGAAAAGCUGAUCUCUAAUGGAUUCAGUUGCAAAGAUGACAUCAUACGGGUGGCUCAAGCAACCCUCGGAUCAAGUGUUGGAUUAUGCAUCAAUACCUCCUCACGAUCCAAACAGAUCUUGUAAGAAGCAAACGGAAUAACAGUGAAGAAAGAUACAUAGUUGCUCAGUGGUGGCAAUGUUUAAUUGGUUCGAUUCUGCCAGCGAUGUCGUCAAUGCUUUCAGAAGAGGGGGCUUGUUAUCCUCAUCGCAACUAAGUCCUCCAAAGCAAACACACACAUCAAACACAAAAAGACACACGAAAGGGGAAAGAACAAUGGAGGGCAGACUAACAAAAUCAGGUAUCAGAUGGCUCAGUUCAGUGGGAUAAUCGGCAUACAAUCAACUCCUGAGAGAAAACCUGCGAUUUGGUCUGUUGAGCUUGAAAAUUUGCAAAUCGUUACUGCCAUCAUCCGAGGAAAAGAAAAAUCCAGAAAGAAUAUCGAACCAAAUGAGAAAGGUUCACACUAAUCAUCGAAGGCUUCACGAAAGCACGAUAUCUCAAAAAUAAAAUUCCUGUUUUAUUUUGAACAACUAACAGUACCAAAGUAAGCAUAGCACCAUACGACCACUAUGCAGUCAAAUUUUCAUCUACAAAGUGAGAUUCACAAGUGUGUCAAUCAGCACAGAUCCACCGAAGCAGAUCCUAAGACUGGGGCGACAAAUAUGAACUCAUCAUCCUCAUAACUACAACAUAGCCAAUUCAAAAUCAGCUAGCUAUGCUCCUCAAUCAUUCCAACUAUACCUGCUCUGUUUUAUCUCAAUUCGUAUCAUCUUGUACUCGACAUAAUUAUUACAGCUGGUACUACAUGAAAGUUCUAAAAGGAUUUCAAAUUGUCCAACAAUUUGCAAAUUGCUAUCUUACAAACAGGUUCUUAGUUUAUAUAUUUAAAGAAUACCCAGAAGACAUCUCACAAUGACGUCAAGCAAAAGUCAACGGAAAGGAGCUCAUUAAGGAAGUAGCGAUUGACGAUCAUAUUGAGCCAAUUUUCGCAUCAAUGCUCAAAAUCCAAGCAAAAACAAGAACUUCAAUUUAGGAUAUGGUUUCUCAUGUGCAAUUAGAAUUGAAACUACACAGGCAACCUAAAGGUCGUCAACUAGGAGCUAAUAAAGACUUUUGUUUAAGUUCACAGUUUGGUCAUCUGAAUUUAAAAAAACAAACAGAUUUUGGCCUCAUCAUUAAUUAUACUUUCCUCAUGAAGGGAAUUGAGUUGAGACAAACAAUAAAAAGAAUCCACAUGUUAACCUAGAAGACAGUAAUAAGAAAAUUCAGAAUAUGGGCGGUUAUACAGCGGGAUGGUCGGCAAGGGACAUGAAUGCCAGUUACGACGAACGAGACCAAAUAUCAAUCGUCACCGACCUCAAACCGGAUGCAAAAACAAGUAAAAUCCCUCAAAGUAGAACGCAGAGAGAGGAGAGGGGGGAGGGAACCUGUUGAGACGGGAGGUGGCGGCGUGGGGAAGAAGGUCUCCUCGCUGGUGGUUAGGGUUUCGCAGAGGCGCCCGGCCGACCCGUGCCGUUGGAUCGCCG